AGGUGGCCGCAGAGAAUAGGCCCAAGCGACUGUUUACCAAAAACAUAGGUUUCUGCUAAGUCGCAAGACGAUGUAUAGGAGCUGACGCCUGCCCGGUGCUGGAAGGUUAAGGGGAUCUGUUAGAGUAAUCGAAGCAGUGAACUUAAGCCCCAGUAAACGGCGGCCGUAACUAUACCGGUCCUAAGGUAGCGAAAUUCCUUGUCGGGUAAGUUCCGACCCGCACGAAAGGCGUAACGAUUUGGGCACUGUCUCAACAACAGACUCGGUGAAAUUGUAAUUCCGGUGAAGAUGCCGGAUACCUG
RNAcentral lists this ribosomal RNA (302 nucleotides) under Clostridioides difficile. Its description in RNAcentral is "partial 23S ribosomal RNA". It matches the Rfam family "Bacterial large subunit ribosomal RNA", at positions 1771 to 2072 of the family's 2925-position model. Lineage: Bacteria; Bacillati; Bacillota; Clostridia; Peptostreptococcales; Peptostreptococcaceae. The record is from RNAcentral.